This 252-nucleotide ribosomal RNA is filed under the name Veillonella dispar. Its description in RNAcentral is "partial 16S ribosomal RNA". It matches the Rfam family "Bacterial small subunit ribosomal RNA", at positions 524 to 776 of the family's 1533-position model. The record is from RNAcentral. Lineage: Bacteria; Bacillati; Bacillota; Negativicutes; Veillonellales; Veillonellaceae.
UACGUAGGUGGCAAGCGUUGUCCGGAAUUAUUGGGCGUAAAGCGCGCGCAGGCGGAUUGGUCAGUCUGUCUUAAAAGUUCGGGGCUUAACCCCGUGAUGGGAUGGAAACUGCCAAUCUAGAGUAUUGGAGAGGAAAGUGGAAUUCCUAGUGUAGCGGUGAAAUGCGUAGAUAUUAGGAAGAACACCAGUGGCGAAGGCGACUUUCUGGACGAAAACUGACGCUGAGGCGCGAAAGCCAGGGGAGCGAACGGG